CCAAUUCUCUAGCAGAAAUCAACAAUCCAAUCUCAAAUUCAGACAUGGUUUUGCAACUCCUUGCUGGUUUACCAACCCAAUACUCACCCUUCAAAAACACAAUAUCAUCAAUGUGUCCUCUCCCCGAUUUUGAACAAGCUUCUUCCAUGUUAUAUAUGCAACAUGACUUAUUAUCAUUACAGGAUCGUGAGGAGGAGAAAUUGAAAGCUGAAGCUGGUGCAGAGAAAUCGUCUGGUUUUUGUACAGCUGAUACGUUUCAUACUGUAAUUGAUACAUUGAGUAUUGCUGUUGCUGCUGUUGGUGCAGUGGGUACUGUCUGUGCUGCAGCUAGUACAUUGGGUACUGUUGUUGGUGCAGUUGGUACUGUGACUGCAUCCAGGGUGAUUGUUGUUGGUGCAAUUACUGCUGUUGCUGGCUGGAAAAUUUGGCAAACGGUACCUCGCAAGUAAUUUAUCGAGUUGAUUUCUCGUAUAAUCACUUAAAUAAAUAGUAGUAGUCGAAUGUUUUACGUGAUUUGAAGUGGAAGUUCAACACAAAUUUUGCUUGUGUUUUUCAAUAUUUUGAUUUUCCUUUGGAUGUGUGUAUGG
This 587-nucleotide unclassified non-coding RNA is filed under the name Hevea brasiliensis (rubber tree). The record is from RNAcentral. Lineage: Eukaryota; Viridiplantae; Streptophyta; Magnoliopsida; Malpighiales; Euphorbiaceae.